GAUGAACGCUGGCGGCGUGCCUAAUACAUGCAAGUCGAGCGAACAGAUGAGGAGCUUGCUCCUCUGACGUUAGCGGCGGACGGGUGAGUAACACGUGGAUAACCUCCCUAUAAGACUGGGAUAACUUCGUGAAAUCGGAGCUAAUACCGGAUAAUAUAUUGAACCGCAUGGUUCAAUAGUUAAAGACGGUUUUGCUGUCACUUAUAGAUGGAUCCGCGCCGCAUUAGCUAGUUGGUAAGGUAACGGCUUACCAAGGCAACGAUGCGUAGCCGACCUGAGAGGAUGAUCAGCCACACUGGAACUGAGACACGGUCCAGACUCCUACGGGAGGCAGCAGUAGGGAAUCUUGGGCAAUGGGCGAAAGCCUGACGGAGCAAUGCCGCGUGAGUGAUGAAGGUCUUCGGAUCGUAAAACUCUGUUGUUAGGAAAGAAAAGAUGUGUGAGAAAAUAGGCACGUCUUGACGGUACCUAAAGAAUAAGCAACGGCUAACUACGUG
RNAcentral lists this ribosomal RNA (497 nucleotides) under uncultured bacterium. RNAcentral describes it as "partial 16S ribosomal RNA". It matches the Rfam family "Bacterial small subunit ribosomal RNA", at positions 28 to 507 of the family's 1533-position model. The record is from RNAcentral.